CCUAAAAACCUAGCGGCAACAUGGAAGGACCAGAGAGGCAUCUGGCCUUAUAAUAAGGCCGGCGGUGCAGGCCUCCCUGGUGUGGCAUACAACCAGAUCGAGCGGUUGAAGAAGAAGACAAUAGGAUAGCCCUCCCAGAUCUGGCCGGCCGGACCGACUGGCGCCGUGCCGACGAGGCGACGACGAAGGCGUCUGUGUACAUGGGUUUGAUCUUUCUCUCUCCGCUUCCGCUCCUCUCUCUCUCUCUCUCUGCGUGUCGACCGUCUGCUGUGUCCGAUGGGAUCGGUCGGGGGCUGCGGUGGAGGGUUGAUGAUGGUGCGAAUGGCUGACAGAAGAGAGUGAGCACACAGCGGCAGACUACGUCUGGUAAAGAGGACGGAUGGAUGCGAAGAGAGAUAUAGACGCAGCUGCUGUUGCGUGCUCACCCUCUCUCUGUCAGCUCUCUCUCCGCCUUGGGACUUGUUCCGCCAUCAAUCAAUCUAUCCAUCCAUCUCCCCUUGCCGUUCCCAUCGCUUCGCAGCCAUCUUUGCCUGCAUCGACUGCCGAGAAGAGGCAGGAUGAGCUUUGUCUUGCUUGCUGUGUCCCCACCUCAGCCCUAUCUUGUCCGGAUUCCGACGGCCUAGCCUAGCCCCCUGCUAUUUGGAAUAAGGUACGCUGUGCGCAUGCACGCCAUGGAUUCUUGCGCCGGCAGCCACCAAUUCCUAUUCCUUUAAAUUUCCCCUCUUUGGGGUGUCUCUCUCUCCUAGCCGUCUUUGCUUCUUCCAGGAUUAGCUAUCGCCUUGGGGGAAGGGGGACGCGUGUUGAUUUGAUUAACGCAGGUGGUGUUAUUUUGCUCGACUCCCCAGGAGUGCUUAACGGAAAGCACUGUUUGACCAGUCCUUGCCAUGCCCUUCUCCCUCCUCCUCCUCAUCAUCUUCUUCCUCCUGUACUCCACCCCCUCUCUCUUUGUUGCUGCUUUAACUUUUUUUCGAUGGAUCACGAAAUUUCCAUAGUUUUUCUCCCCCUUUUGCUUCCUUAUCUCAUGUGCUGCUGUGAGGCAGGCAGGAAGGAGGCAGCUAUGGCGGCGGCGGCAGAUCUACAAUACUUGGCUGCAAGUGGAAAGCCGGCACAUAGCCGAUGGCGACGGCGCCUCCCAGAUCUGUGGGAACGUUCGGUCAGUCCAUGUUUCUCCUUAAUUUGUGUCCCGAUAAAGUGGCCAUGCCUCCUCGUACAUGGCCUAUUAGUGGUAUGACCAUGUGAGUUGUUUGCUUUUUCUGUAUUAUUGUUCCUGAUGGUUUUGCCUCUAAUGGCGACUCUACAUCUCAUGGACUUGCCUGUGAUGUGAACUAGAAACGUAUAUCCUGCAGUUUAGCCUCUGCCGCUUUUUAUUCAGCCGUGUUUUGGUCUUUUAAUUCCUGGCUAUAUGGUCUCCAUGUAAGAAGCUGCAAACGAACAGCCAGCACAGUCAACCCCAUGGUCGUUUCUUUCAUUGUAUGCAUCGUAUGUAGAGCUUGGUUCACUUUUGAGGAGAUCUUCUUGGAGAUCCGUAAGAGUAUGGUUUCUGAUAAAUCUCCGCAGUUUCUUCUAGCUUCACAUAAAAUUGCUAUUUUAUUUUUCCUGGACAUCAAUUUUUUUCUUAGGUGAAUCAACAGUACUUAACUCUUGCCAACACUUUUAAAUUUGGCAUAUGUGUUCUUGUUUCUCACACAAGCUAUGCAACAUUGUCAACUUAUAGGCAUAUGUACUGGUGGUUUCUCAGCAAUUUAUUUCUCUUUGGCAUUAGACCCCUUCGGCUCUAACACCAACUUAAUGACGCAUAGAGUUGCUUAAUUUCUAGCAAGCAGCAAAAGAUAUCAUUUGUUUGGUUACCUGAUCAUGUAAUGGAUUGCCUGGUAGUAUAACAUAUUUGGUCACCUGAUCAUGUAAUGGAUCUUUUUAAUAGUAUGACUUAUUUUUGGAUAUAUUACAUGUGCAGAGAGCACAAGACUUUUCACCCUGGAAGUACUUUUCCUGGUAACGUUCAAUUGAGCUGCUUAUGAAUGGCCUAAAGUAAAAAUUUAUGUUGAGCGGAAGAAUGCUUCUGGGUUUUAUCUGUAAUGACAACUAGUUCUCUAUUGUACAUAGAACUAGUCUACUGCUGUUCUCCAUAAUUAACCCAUAAUGACCAUCUCUCAAUUCUGACUGUUCUUUUUUGACAUCCAUUACUAGAACAACAGAUGCAUGCUGCCUUCCAGGAGAUGAAGUGGCUGCAUGACGGCACACUUUCGUUUGCUACUUUCAGGGAAAAGUUGGAGCAGAACAGAAAUAAUUUACCCCCUAAACCAAGAAAUGUAUUUAAAAGGAGAAAGCUGUGCCGCCAAGCCUCAGAAACUUAUGCCGAAGAUGUAUUUCCCAUUUGGUGAAUCCAUGGUGCCACUUCUAUUUAUCUAUCAUGAGUUCCAGUUAGCCCUUUCUGGUGUUCGUGAUUUCUGGCUUCAUCAGGAAAUAUGGCAUGAACGGCAUGAUCUUUUCUUCCGUGCAAUUCAGGAGACUGUUGCAAGUGUUAUGGGAAGCAUCAUCCUUUUUCUCAUGUUCGUCAUCUCUUAAAAGCAUUGUAGUUUCCUCGUCGCGUCUUGUAAGCUUCAGAUUUUGUGCUCCAAUAUCUGCUGAUAUAUCCUCCAUCUCAACGAUGAAGUAUGCAGUUUAUCGUGAACAACAUCUAUGUCUGGUUUGGUAAGCUAGCUUAAAGUCUGCUGUUUACUUUUGAGACUGGACUCGCGAUCUCUGUAACAGAUUGUCUUUCUGUACAAAAUAAAAAUUCACUGUAAAUUUUAAGCUGCUUCUAUA
Long non-coding RNA from Triticum aestivum (bread wheat), 2805 nucleotides. RefSeq lists it as uncharacterized. The record is from RefSeq and is a predicted model, not a curated record. The transcript is spliced from 2 exons. Lineage: Eukaryota; Viridiplantae; Streptophyta; Magnoliopsida; Poales; Poaceae.